CGCAACUGUAUGCAUUUAUAUAUUAGGAAGACCGAUCAAAUUUCCCUCUUUUGGCUCGCUUGCUCGUUCGCAGUAGCUUUUAUUAUGUGGAAUUCGGUUGUAUAGCAACAAUGUCCUCGUCAUCAAUGCGGCAACUCGACUUGGAGGCGUGUCCUACUACAAAGGAUUUCGUCCUCAACCAUGAAGAUGAGCACCACCAACAACCGCUCGAAAAUGAAUCUGAUCCCUUUGAUAUUGCUCAUACCAAGAAUGCUCCUCAUAAGACUCUCAGGCGCUGGAGGCAAGCUGCGCUUGUGCUAAAUGCUUCCCGUCGGUUUCGGUACACUUUGGACUUAAAAAAGGAAGAAGAGAAAGAACAAAGAAGAAGGAUGAUUAGAGCUCAUGCGCAAGUCAUAAGAGCAGCAUUACUUUUCAAAUUGGCUGGGGAGCGACAAAUUGUGAUAGGUCCCAUAGUUGCAGAUACAAUUCCUAGUGGUGAUUAUGCAAUUGGGCUAGAACAACUAGCUUCAAUGACCAGGGAUCAUAAGCUUUCAUCCUUACAACAGUAUGGAGGUGCAAAAGGGUUAUGUAAGAUGUUGAAAACAAAUUUGGAGAGUGGAAUCAAUGGAGAUGAGGAUGAUUUAAUAAAGCGUCGGAAUGCAUUUGGAGCAAAUACUUAUCCCCAGAAAAAAGGACGGAGUUUCUUGAGGUUCCUUUGGGAAGCUUGGCAAGAUCUUACUUUGAUCAUAUUGAUGGUGGCUGCUGUGGCUUCUUUGGU
RNAcentral lists this unclassified non-coding RNA (757 nucleotides) under Hevea brasiliensis (rubber tree). Lineage: Eukaryota; Viridiplantae; Streptophyta; Magnoliopsida; Malpighiales; Euphorbiaceae. The record is from RNAcentral.